CGUGUUUGCAAUAUGGCCGCGAUUCAAACGUCGUUUUCACGUUCGCAACCACCAAGUUGCGUCAUCACAUAAAUCAAAUCAUGUACUUGCAAUGCGUCUAAUUGGAAUAUUCGGAUGUAAUUUUAUUGUGCAAUCGACAUGUGGUAUGGGGUGAUCGCAGUUUCACCUUCUCGAAGUGUACGCGGCGAAGUUAUCAGCUGUUUGUUUGCUUUUCACAUGUUUCAAACGGUAACUUUGCGGUAGUAGAGUGCCAAUUGUGCAGCACUGCUAACACAAAGAGAUGCCAUGUUGUUGUUUUGAUUUUAACACUCCAACACCAUUCGGCACUGCUGAUAACGCACUCUUAUUUUUAUUUUCUAACGUUACAUUUAUCAUUUACUUAUUCUUUAGUAUUUUGUUAUAUUUUAAUUCUGUUUUAUUUUCUGUUUAUUGCGUGCGACGUUGUUGAUGGUGCAUUACGAUCGGUUUCUCAAUCCACUUCUUGAAAACGUUCCUGUUUUCAAUCGCAGACAUGUAUAUUAAAAAAAAUAAUUGUACUUACUGUUAUUUCUCUUUGCACUUAAAAUUUUCUGCUGUUUCUAGAUGACCUUUCAAGGUCACCCACCUGACGUCCCGGAUUAGUCUUACUUUCCCAAGAUUGGAAAAAGGUUUGAACAUUGCUGUAUCGUUUAUCCAAUGUCUCUAAUAAUUUUUAAAUUUUCUGUUACUAAUUGUUCUUUCUGCUUGUCUUUCAGGUACAUAUUCGAUAUAUUGGGGCAUUUUUGUAAUUCGGGCGCGUUCGUUUUCGGUUUAUGUACUUUUUGUGUCUACUAAUAUUCCACACCUUCAUGUUUUAACACACUACCUCUUAAUAUCAUUAUUACUUUAUUGUUUUUCAAUCCUUUUAAUAUUCUUAUUUUUCAUAAUUUAAAAAAAUCCUUGCCAAUUUUGAUUAAUUUAUCAUUUAUUUAUUUUAUUCUUUAAAAAUUUUUUAGUUCCGAAUAUCUACCAAAUCAUCCUUACCCAGUAUUUUUAAUCUUUGUUUCGAUUCACAGGUAUAAGUGAUAAACGAUAUUCGCGAGAGACCUGGAGAGGUGUAACGAAAUACUCAUCGAGUGCGGGUCGCGACGCGUUUGAUUUAACCAUUUUAUUGAAUCGUGUUCAAUUAGCUACCGAAGGAGGGUCGUGCCUUGUCCCCUUUCACCUGUUAGGGAAAGUACGCAGUGUUUACAAAAAAUGUAUCCGAAUAUUCGACAAAUCGAGUGCGGGACGCGAUUAAAAAUCCGAAAGUAUCGCGUAAUCCGUAUUGCACUAUUAAAGUGCGCGUUAAAAAUAAUUCCAAUUCCAUGAGGGUUUGUACGGGGCCUCAACGGACUGCAAGCAUCCUACCAGCGGUUUGGACUCAAGAUUGUAUUAUAAUAUCAACGCCAUAAGUACCGGCGAACGCUAUGUCGUGGGGCUGCCGUUCUUGCACUAAAUUGUACGGUGCCUUGAAUGGGAGUCACUUCUACCGCUACCUUCGCACGGUGCCCUAAAUGGAAAUUUUUAUGGAUCCUUUGUUGGAUGAUUCAUUGGCUAAUCCUGAGAUGGUCAAGUUAAUCAAUAGGGACCAACUGGAGAGGUUCCGUGGUACUGGUGGAGGAGUCCGUAUUGAGGAUUAUGUUUUAAUUACUGAAGAUGGAUGUGUCAACUGGACUUAAGUUCCAAGAACUGUACAAGAAAUUGAAGAUUGGAUUGCCGGUGUUGAUGAUGAUUCCAAACACGAUUGACUGAAUUUACAACAUCUUGAAGCUGUUAUUGUUAUCAUUUUUGUUUAUUUUGUUAAAAGUUAUAAAAAAAGAAUUAUAUAAUUGCAUAUUAUUAUCUCGUUUUCUUGCUUGUAUUGUUGAAAAUGCUGUAUACAUUAAGAAACUGAGUUUGUGAUUGUGUAUAUUCUACAUGUUUGAAUAAAAAGGUAGUUUUAUAUUUUUGACUAUAAA
Long non-coding RNA from Dalotia coriaria, 1958 nucleotides. RefSeq lists it as uncharacterized. The transcript has 4 exons. The record is from RefSeq and is a predicted model, not a curated record. NCBI's taxonomy places the organism in Eukaryota, Metazoa, Arthropoda, Insecta, Coleoptera, Staphylinidae.